GAAGAGGGGCAUCUGUGGAUUUGGCCAAGUUGUUUGACCGGUUGAGACAACUCAGACUGAGGUUGAGUCCGAAUCAAUGCACUUAUGGAGUGCUGUCCGGUAAAAUGCUAAGGCUUAUUGUGAGCGGAUAAGAGGAAUCGAGGUUGAUCCUGCUAAAAAAAAAAGAAAGAAAAGAAGAAAAGAAAGAAAAGAAAAGGAAAAGCAAUACAAGAAA
Molecule: long non-coding RNA, 214 nt
Filed under: Lathyrus oleraceus (garden pea)
Lineage: Eukaryota; Viridiplantae; Streptophyta; Magnoliopsida; Fabales; Fabaceae
Description: Pisum sativum (pea) long non-coding RNA (PSAT_LNC017225)
Source: RNAcentral